GAUGAACGCUGGCGGCGUGCCUAAUACAUGCAAGUCGAGCGAACGGACGAGAAGCUUGCUUCUCUGAUGUUAGCGGCGGACGGGUGAGUAACACGUGGAUAACCUACCUAUAAGACUGGGAUAACUUCGGGAAACCGGAGCUAAUACCGGAUGAUAUUUUGAACCGCAUGGUUCAAAAGUGAAAGACGGUCUUGCUGUCACUUAUAGAUGGAUCCGCGCUGCAUUAGCUAGUUGGUAAGGUAACGGCUUACCAAGGCAACGAUGCAUAGCCGACCUGAGAGGGUGAUCGGCCACACUGGAACUGAGACACGGUCCAGACUCCUACGGGAGGCAGCAAUAGGGAAUCUUCCGCAGUGGGCGAAAGCCUGACGGAGCAACGCCGCGUGAGUGAUGAAGGUCUUCGGAUCGUAAAACUCUGUUAUUAGGGAAGAACAUAUGUGUAAGUAACUGUGCACAUCUUGACGGUACCUAAUCAGAAAGCCACGGCUAACUACGU
RNAcentral lists this ribosomal RNA (496 nucleotides) under uncultured bacterium. RNAcentral's name for it is "partial 16S ribosomal RNA". It matches the Rfam family "Bacterial small subunit ribosomal RNA", at positions 28 to 506 of the family's 1533-position model. The record is from RNAcentral.